CCAACAAUGGGGAACUGCAAAACCUUCCAAUAACCGUAUAAGUCAAGCCUUCCAAUCCAUUUGUUUCAAUGGUACCGAAUCUUUAUAUUAGGUGUGACGGCUGCCACAACUCAUUUAAGAGGUGGGUGUACCUAAGGUGACCACACAUCCCAUUUUGAAUGACACAGUUCCAAAAAUGUCCCAUUUUCAGAAUGUAAACAAAUAAAUAACGAGAAUCAAUUGUAUACACGGUGGAAGGUCGGGUUUGUAGUUAAAUUUCUUGAACGUCGUCGCCGGUUAUUGGAUUUAUUGAAGAAAAUAUGUUCCAACGAAA
Cinara cedri is the source of this 313-nucleotide non-coding RNA. The record is from the annotation of a GenBank genome assembly. Lineage: Eukaryota; Metazoa; Arthropoda; Insecta; Hemiptera; Aphididae.